RNAcentral lists this long non-coding RNA (19362 nucleotides) under Solanum tuberosum (potato). RNAcentral describes it as "long non-coding RNA (STUB_LNC002954)". Lineage: Eukaryota; Viridiplantae; Streptophyta; Magnoliopsida; Solanales; Solanaceae. The record is from RNAcentral.
UUUUUUUUUUUUUUUGUUUUAAUUAAUUGGUCUAUGUUAUAGGAUAAUAAGAUGGUUAGAAAUCUGAAAGAAGCUAAGAGCAGCACUAAUACACAAGCAUCUCAACCAAUUGAACAGAAUUAACUAAAGUAAUCAGUAGACUUAGUUCACACAGUAAUUAACACAUCAGAGUUAAUGUGCUAAGUUCCCGGAGUUCCUGUAUAACACGUUCACGAGCACAUAAAAUAAGAAAAUGAAGCAAUGACAACAUCUAAAAGUGGGAGCUGAGAACCUACACAUAGCAAGUAUAUAUAAUAUAUGUACUUAUGUAGUAACAUAAACUGGAGUAUAAUGAUAAAUUGAUCAUCAAACCUUGUGACUCUUUUGCGCGCCAAUUUAUCUUGAGCAUCUUGCUUCUUAACAGGUAGCAUCCCUCCAAUCAGAAAUAGGCUCUCUGAAUAAUCAACAAUCACAUAUGAUCCAUCCUUAUUAUUAUCAAAGCUGAAUUUUUCCUUGAUUGAACUAGUUAUGGGAUCACACAAGAAUAUCACUCCAUUUUCAUUCUUAGCUACAAUGUCACCAUUCCUCAAACAGCCCAAUAUUAGGUCAAACCCGACUAACGGUCCAACACUGUAUUUCUUACUCCAACCAUCUACAUCAUCCAUUACCCAAACAUCCAUAUGACAAUCAUCUUUAUGAUCCCAGUCUAACAUACAAAGAGAACCCUCCAAUUCCACAAGAUAUUGAUGCUUCUUACGCCUUCCUAUCGAAGGUAACUUCUCAAAAACUAGUUUCCCCACAUCAAAUCGCACAAACACAGCACGCGAUCCGAACUUAUCAGGCAUACAAACCAACCAAUACGCCACCCCUUUAACAAUCACAUUGCAAGUAAACUCAAGAAUAUGAAAAAUCAUCUCAUUUUUCAGCUUCUUCCAUUUCCCACUCUUACUCGAAUACAUCUCAACAUGGUUCGGGACUGCAUACAUUAUGCCCACACAAAAUAUUCUCAAGAUCAACAAAUCAUUAUGUUGGAAAUCAAAAGCCAUUCCAAUAGACGCCAAAAAGUGCAGUCCCUGACGGGGCAAGCUAUCAGUGAGCUCCACCAUCUUAUACUUCCUCAUCGCCGGGUUCCAAAGGGUAAUCAGUUCACCCCAUGGUGGAUUAAAAAGGCAGAUAAAGCCAUUGCAAGGACCCACAAUGUACAUAUUGGGGAAGAAACAGGGGAAAGGGCUGUCCACCUGGACAACUGAUUCCGGCGGGUUGUAUAGUGAGACUACAUGAUGAUUAGACUCGCGAUGACGGCUGCCUAUAAGAAUAGAUGAACCGGAGAACUGCAAAGAAGAAGAGUGACGGAAAUGUGAGGCGAUGAAAUCGGGUUUGGAAAUGAGGUUUCGCCAUUGCUUGCUAACACACCUGAAUCGUAAAAGGGUUUUGACAGGGAGACGGGAAAGGAUGUUAGAGAUGAUUUCUCUUGGGAAAUAGAAGUGGGAAGUUGGUUCUGGUUCUGCUGCAGCUCUGCAUUUUGGUUCUUUUGAAGUCCCUUUUCCUUUACCUUUACUUUUACCUUUCUUCUUCCCAUUUCCUUUGCCUUUAGGAGGCAUCUUGGAAGCAGGAAAAGGGUUUUACAAAAUCACAGUAACAAUGUUGACAAAGAAGAAGGGUUUUAGGGUUGCAAAAUCAGAGCAUGUAUUUGUCUUUUGUGACAGAACUGGGGACUCGACAGAGACCUGUAGGUUUUGGCAUCAGCUCUGAAUAAAGGAAGGAUACAAUACAGAAUUUGUACUGUAUUCUGUGAUAUUGUUGGGAUGAAUAAUUAUAUGAUUUUUCAGGUUACAUAUUUUGUUUCGUGCAUUUUUUUAAAUCUAUUUGGUAUUAAGGUAUGUAUAAUUUUAACAUGCAUUUACAUGAUUAAAGAUACAAUUGCCUUUUGUGCCACAAUAAACAAGAAGAAAUUGUUGUGCUGUUCAAUUCUGUAUUUUGGAACACAAGCCAAAUUUAUAUGCAAGAUCGAAAAUUCGAUUUUAGCAAGUCAAAUGUUUAUAUAAGAGCUAGGUAACUCAAUUCAUUCAUAAGUCAAAUGCAAAAUCUCAAGACUUACAAUCUCUUAUCUUGAAAUUUCCAUAUUUUUACCAGUCCAAAUUCAAGUACACUUGAGCCUAGCCUUGAGUUUGUUUUGGAGGUUGAAUGGUGUACAAGGAGUUGAGCUGCCUACUUAUUAGCAUGCUGUUAUUGAGAGCCAUUUGGAGUUCCAAGUCAUCAGACCACCAUUGUUUAAGCCUAUGUGCCUCAAGAAACCUCUGCUUUGCCUUUGACACCACAAAAAGCUUUACACCGGUUAGCGCAUUUCCACCAGGUUUUACUUCUUUCUCCUUAUUACCAAUAUUGAAACUAUUGUUUUGUACUCCAUCUGGAUAAUUGUAGUAGCAGCAUAUGUAGUCACUUGUGUUAACAUACAAAUGAGGCAUAGGCAGCAUUUGCUUAAGCUCUGAAGUGAUUCUUGAUUCUGUAGAUUCAGCUGCAUCCUCUGCGAUGCUCUUGCUAUGAAACUCUGAGUUAGAAGGAAGCAUUGAUUUGAACCUUUUCCACACAAAUCCAGCUUUUCCACUCAAGAUUCUAUAACUCAUGGCCAAUGAAACAGAUGGUGGAUUGAAAAGAUGUGCUUCUACAUAAGUUCCUUCAGCAGCUAACGCCUUGUAUACCUCGAGAGCAAAACCAGCUCCUAAUGAGUGCCCUGUGAUGGACACAUUUUUGCUCCCUUGCUGGUUGAAGAUGAUUGAUUUUAGAGCCGUUAAGAGUCUUUCGAAUCUGAAGGAUCCUUUGAGACUUUCCCAUGCUAAGUAACGUAGAUCAUCCUCGACGUCUCUCCUUAUUGUGGGGUUCUUCAAGAGUGUUCCUCUGAUGGCUAAUACCACUUUUGGUGCACCAGUUGGUCUUAUUGGUAUAAAAUCAGCCAGGGCUGCUGCUUGAUCCCAUUCCAAAACUGCAGCAAAUAUCGAACCAUCUCUUUCAUCUACAAGGGGUUCAACCAGUUUGUACUUAAAGGGUGUCCACCACUGUGGUGCAAGGGCAGUUUCUAGGCCGUACCUAUUUUCUUGUCUGUCUAGUUCAAGCAAGUAUGCUGAUUGUACAAAACAGGCCAUCACUACUCUUUUGUAGCUUUCGUUCUUCCUGCACAUUCUAUACACCAUCAUAAGUAGUACUAAGAAUUGAAAUCUCAACGAAGACAUGAAAUGAUAAAACGGAAACUAACCAACUGGAGCUGAUGAGUUCUCUCCAUCCAGGAGAAGAAAUGUGUCGAGGACCAAAUACAUGGAAGGCCUUGGGAUGGUACUGGAAAGAAUGGUUUCUCUCCAUGGAAUUUUUUCUGAAGGACCAAUAUGUUCUCAUGCAGUCACUUCUUUUUUCUUGAGUUUCUUAAUAAGGUGGAGGUUGUAUGUAGCAAAUAAAAUGUGACAAACCAGUCUUCAUAAAAGAGAAGAAAAUACACUUCCCAACGCCUAAAAGGGAAUCACUUUUGCAUUUCAUAUAAUUUAUAUAUGGUAUCGGAUACCAGUGAAUUAAUAUGGAUUCUUCUGCCAUAUCUUAUACAUAUUAUAACAAAAUGCAAGUGUUUUAUCUUGGUAAAGAACACUCAACCUUGCAAAAUUAGUCAUGUCUGAUCUUAUUCUAUUCCUAUAGAUCAGCUUACAACAGAAUCUGAUUCUGUUUUGCUCUGAAUGACCUAAAAGAAAACUAGCAUAAUGCUCUAGGAAUACAUCUAUCUAUAUAUAAAUGGUUUCUUUGUCCUAAUGUUUCGCAUGCUCUUUCAUUUAUAUUAUCUGAUGAACACCUUAUCGAAUCUCAAGGAUAAGACGAAGAUCCACGACAUCAUUAAACAAAUGUUUGUCGAGUCUCUAAAUAUUUUAAUCUCCUUUUUCUCUCAUCCUAUUCGGUUCUAGUUCAUGAAAAUUUUAUUUAAAAGCGAUCUCUUUGAAUCUUUCUUUAUUUGAAUGAAUCUGGCAAUAAAAUAGGAUAUCAUAACUUCCAUCUUAAUUUGACAACCGCCACACCAAUAUCCUGAGAAACCUGGUUAAGGAAAAUAGACAGGUGAAUCGUGAUUGCCUUGUCCCCCUACUAUCGAUGUUAUAAGAAAAUAUUCAACAAUAUUAUAUUUCUUAAUAUUAUUUUAGUAUAAGAAAUUACACGAAUUAGUUAUUUCGUUAUUUCUUAUAUCUGAACUUUAUUUUUAAAAAUUAAUUAUCAUCCAUUAUUUAAAUUUUACUGACCUAAAUGACUAAUAAAUACUUGAUCAGUGAAAAACAAUAAUGACAGUCUACUCCUAUAUUUGGGGAUAAAGCGUAAGCAAAUCUUAUUUUUACCUCAUGAGAUAGAAAAGUUUUUGAAAGACCUCGACUCAGGUAACGCCUAUAAAAAAUCAUACGGAAGAAAAGAGGUUAACAAGUACUCCAUCCGUUUAAAAAAGAAUGACCUCCUUUCCUUUUUAGUCCGUUUCAAAAAGAAUGACCUAUUUUCUUUUUGGUAACAUUUUAAUUUCAGUUUUCCACGUGACAUGUUUAAAGCCACAAGAUUGAAAGACAAUUCAGUACAUUUGAUAUAAUUUUAAUUUAUGACCACAAGAUUCAAAAAUCUUCUUUAUUUUUUAAAACUUUGUGUCAAGUCAAAUCAGAUCAUUCUUUUUUAAACGGAGGGAGUACUUAUUAGAGUAAGCAUCAUAUAACAUACCAGGAAAAGAAGCAUUAAAAGUAAUAUGAAAAUCAAAACACAAGACACAAUAUAUAACAACUAGGGGUGACAGAAUAGGUAAUUAAUAUGGGUAUCCAACUCAUUUAAAAAUGGGUAAAAACAUAUAAUACCCAGAUUAUCCAUUUAAAGGUGGAUAGUUAAAUAGAUAAAAUGGGUAAAAAAUGUUCAUUUACACAAAAAAAAAAAGAGUGCUAAAGAGUGGGGUAGUAAGUAAGUCUAUUUUUUUUACAUUUUUAUAUGUUAUUUUUUUUUUGGGAUAGGAAGGUGGGGGGGUUGGUAGGGUGGUGGGUGGUUGUUAUUUAAAAAAAAAAAAAAUUAAUGGAAAAAAUUUAAAAUUUUGUUAAUUAUUUUUUGGAUGGGGUGUGGGAGGUGGUUGGUAGGGUGUGGGGUGGUAAAUUUUUUUUAAAUUUCUUUUUUUUAUUUUUAUUUUUUGGGAUUGGGGUAGGGGGUGGAGUGAAGCGAUGAAAAAACUUUAAUUUUUUUUUUGUUUUUAAAGAUUUUAACAAGAUUUCUAUUAUAACAUGAGUAAUUAUGAGUAUCCAUAUUAUCCAUUGGGUAAUUCAUUUUUAUCCAUUUAAAAUGUGAGUCGAGUCGAGUAAUUUAUCCAUUUUUAUUUAACUCAUUUUUUAUCGACUCAUAUUCGACUCGACUCACUCGUUUGUCACUCCUAAUAGCAACAUAAAACACAAAAAAUAUCAAAACUACAUGUAUUAAAGGAGAAACAUGAAAGAGUCAGGGCGGGAUUUAUGCUUUAGAAAGUAAGGCCUUUGCCUUGGGCCCCCAAAUUUUAGUGAAGAAUAAAUUAUGUGUUAAUAUUUUUAUAAAAAAAAUUUGAUCAUUUAUGAUAAAAAAGUAUAUAUUUUUUUAAAAUAAAUUAUUUUAUCCACUUUAACAUUUUUUGUACUUUGUUAAAAAUAAGAAUUAAUAGUAAAAAGUGUUGACCAAAGUGAAUUACAAAUUCUUUUUUAUUUCUUUUUAAAUUUUAGUUUCAAGCAUUACUACACGCAUAUUAAUAUGAGGUAUACCAAGUCAUCAACUUCUUGAGUCAAAUUCUGUGGUUCUGACUCUUAUCUUUAUUUAAUAUUUAUCGACUUAUCACUUAUGGCAUUCUGUUAACAAUACAUAUAAUAAUUGCCUCACUUAAAUGAUGUUUUUUCAAUGUUGAGUUGAUAAAAUCUUACUUAAAACUAGUAACUGAAAAAACAAUAUUAAAUACGAAUAAUUUUCAUCUAGAUAGUGCAGGAAAAAUAAUUUUUGAAUAAAUACGUAUAUGAAGUUUAUUUAUAUUUUAGGCCGCGAAUUGAAAUUUCGCUUUAAGCCCCCAAUUACGUUGAGCCGCCCCUGAAAAGAGUGCCAAACAACCAAGUCUACAUCGCAAGAAAGCAAGACAAUGGUCAACUAUCCACAACUUUUUAUUCAAGUUAGUGACCUCUAAAUCCUCCUGAAGAUGUUUUAUCUUGUUUCAAAUUACAUGUCUUCGAUAUAUGUCUAUCCCUCGAACCCACUAUCAUCAAUCUGAACCACUCUAUAACGGAGCCUCUUCACAUGUCCAUAUUAUCUCAGUCUGAUUAUCCUUAUUUUAUCCACCACAAAAAUCACUCCUACUUAUCUCUAGUGUCAUUAUUUCUAAUCUUGUUUGUUCUAGUAUGCGCACACAUCCACGUCAUAAUUCUCAGUUCCAUAACCCUUGGGAAUUUUUAAUUGGCCAACUUUUUUCCCUCUUCAUGCCAAGAGUCAAAACUAAAUCUGUCAGCAUCCCCAAAAUUGUCUUUGUCGAUUCACAAAUCCCUUUCUCGUCUUCACCUUUCUAGCAAAGAUGGCAGCUAAAGGCAAAGGAAAUGGGAAAAGGAAAGGGAAAGGGAAAGGGAAUUCCAAGAAAACAAAGAGCAAACCUCCGGACCCAACAUCCGACUGCAUUUUCCCUAGAGAAACCAUCUCUAACAUCCUUUCUCAUCUCCCUGUCAAGACCCUUUUACGAUUCAGGUGUGUUUGCAAGCCAUGGCGGAACCUCAUUUCCAAACCCAACUUCAUAGACACCCAUUUACACCGUUCCUCUUCUUUGCAGCCCACUAAUUCUCCAAUUCUUAUACACACCCGCCAUGUCAAGUCCACCGAUCAUGUACUCUCACUAUUCGACUCGCCGGAAUCAUCAGUUACCGAACUCGAUAACCCUUUUCCUUUCUUCUUUCACGAGAUGGCCGUUGUGGGUUCAUGCAAUGGCAUUGUUUGCCUUUGUAAGCCACCUUGGGGUGAUGUAAUCACUCUUUGGAACCCAAUGAUGAGGAAGUGUAUGGCGGUGCAGCUUUCGAAGAAGAAACCCCUAAUGGGAGUGCACUCUGGUGUAUCCAUUGGGUUGGCGUACGAUUCACAAGAGAAUGAUUUCAUUAUCUUAAGUCUUUUGUGUUUCAGGGUAGGAUCUAGGGUUCCGGAUGAAGUGGAAAUGUGUUCGACAAAGAGUUUCUGUUGGAAGCAGGUGAAAAAUGAGGUGGGGUUUAGAGUUCUUGGGCCCUGUUGCAAUGUGAUCAUUAAAGGGGUACCUUAUUGGACCGCUCUAGUAGAGGAUGAGUAUGGGUUACGUGAGGUGUUGGUGUAUUUUGAUGUGAGUAGGAAAGUAUUUGAGAAGUUACCUAUGCCAGGAAUAACAGUGGGAACUCAGUGGCAGCUUGUGGAUUUGGAGGAUUCCGUUGGUAUGUUAAUCUGGGCGAAAACAGACAAAUAUAACGUUGAUGUUUGGGUAAUGGACGAUGAAGAUGGUUGGAGUAAGAAAUGCAAUGUCGGACUGGUGUUCGGGUUUGACAGAAUUAUUGGCUGUUUGAGGAAUGGUGACAUUGUAGCUGAGGAUGAAAAUGGCGUGUUGUUACUCUUUGAUCCGGUGACUAAUUCUGUUAAGGCAAAAUUGUGCAUCGAUAACGCUAAGAGAGGUUCAUCCGUGAUUUUCAACUAUUCAGAGAGCCUAGUUCUAAUUGGAGGGAUGCUACCAGUUGAGAAGCAAACUGCUAGAGAUAAAGUAGCACGUGAAAACCUCCUAAAGUGCGGUGAUGAAAUCUUUGUCUUCUCAAUUACAUUUUAAGUUACUAUAUGCUUGCUUUGUGCUGAUUAUUAACUCCGUCUUUGAGAUUUUGUUGUUGCUUUGUUUAUCAUGUUGCGCAUAUGUAUAUGUUACGGGCACCUGGUGAAACUAAGCAGAUAGACUAUGAUUUAAUCUUCUAUGUGAACUCACUCUAUGAUUUGUUUACAUAAUUCUUAGCAAUUAGUGGAGAUGCUUGUGAAUUGCUGCUGUGGUGUUCUGUUUUUUAGAGCAUCAGUUGUGGUGCGGUCAAUAAGCAACAAGAAAUAGAAAAUUGUUAGGAACCCACAAUUCUCUAAUAAUAAAUCUGUAAACUUCCAAACACAAGACAGAAGUAGGAACAACACUUCAACUAAUAUUUACUGCUACAGAUAAUUAGAAUAUGUUAUACAAAUAGUUAGUAGAGAAUACUUCUAACAUUCAAGGUAUUUCGAGGAACCUUAACCUCCAAAUCUGCCUGAGAAAUCCUUACCCACCAAAAUCCUGUCUUUUUCCUUUUCCCAGUACUAUUUAUCCCCAAAUAACUACCUAAACUGCUAGUUAACUGCUAGAUAACUACUAGAUAACUACUAGAAUUACAUUCACAUAAUAAUUAAUAAAUAAAACAACUAUAUUUAAGCCUUAUUUUCACCCUUCUUUCUGCGUUCAUAGACCUUAGUAACAACAGGUCUAACAAUACCCGCCCCAACGAGCUUCACCUUGUCCUCAAGGUGAAAAUGAGGAAACUGUGCAUCAAUGAUCUCAUAGGAUUCCCAAGUGUUUUCAAAGUCUGGUAAGCCCUCCCAUUUAAUCAACACCUCUUUGGAACCAUUCAAGAGUGUAUGACAGUCCACUACACCUUCUGGUUGCACUUGUAGUUCAAGCUCAUCAGAUAAGAAAGGAGGGAGCUGCUGAACUGGAGUAGAAUCCUUAACUGCGCGCUUUAACCAAGAAACAUGAAAUACAGGGUGCACCCGUGAAUGAGGGGGUAAAUCAAGGCGAUAAGCAACUUCACCAAUUUUAUUCAAUAUGGUAUAUGGCCCAUAGUAACGAGGACUUAACUUCUGAUUAACUUUUUUAGCAAGUGAGCGAAGCUUGAAAGGUUGCACACGAAGAUAAACCAAAUCACCAGGCUGAAACACAACUUCACGACGCUUAGCAUCAGCAUAGACUUUCAUUUGAGCUUGAGCAUGAAUUAGAUUAUCUUUGAGUUCAUCUAAAAUAUUGUUGCGAGCCAUAAGCUGCUGGUUGACCUCUUCAACAGCAGAAAUUUCAUCAGUAAACCGCAACAAAGAAGGAGGAUCUCGCCCAUAUAAAGCUCUGAAAGGGGUCAUCUUGGCGGAACCAUGGUAAGUGGUAUUGAACCAAAAUUCAGCCCAAGGAAUCCAUCUUGGCCAUUGUUUUGGAUGUGCUCCUGAAAAGCAACGCAAAUAAGUUUCCAAAGAACGGUUGACAACCUCAGUUUGACCAUCUGUUUGAGGGUGAUAACCUGAGCUUAAUUUGAGGCUAGUACCGGACAACUUGAAUAAUUCUUGCCAAAAUUGGCUGACAAAAAUCCGAUCGCGAUCAGACACAAUUGUUUUGGGAAAACCAUGCAAACGUACAAUCUCACGAACAAAUAACUCAGCAACACUCUUUGCUGUAUAGGGAUGACAUAAGAGGAGGAAAUGACAAUAUUUAGUGAAAUGGUCCACCACCACAAGUAUAGUAUCAUGUCCCAUUGCUUUUGGUAACCCACUGAUGAAAUCCAUAGCAAUAUCAUUCCAAACUUGAGUAGGAAUAGGUAAUGGUUGCAACAAGCCAGCGAGACUUAGGGCUUCAUACUUGUUUUGCUUGCAAACUUCACAACUAGCCACAUAGUUUUGUACAUCCCUUUUGAUUCCAUUCCAAUACAACACUUGUGAAAUGCGUUUGUAUGUACGGAAAAAACCUGAGUGUCCUCCAGUAGGUGAAGAGUGAAAUUCCCUAAGGAGUGUGGGAAUGUGUAAUGACGAACGGGGAAUCACCAGCCGACUUUUGAAAAAUAGGCAGCCAUUCUUUAGAACAUAAUUCGGUCGUGAAGCCGGAUUUUGCAGCAACUCUUGAGUCAAUUUACGGAGUUGAUCAUCCUGUUGAAUUUCUGUGGAAAGAUCAUCUAAUGUACUGCUGCGUAGAACAGAAAAAGCCAUGAAAUGAAAUUGGCGAGACAAGGCAUCAGCUGCUUUAUUUUCACAACCCGGUCGAUAUUGAAUCUCAAAAUCAAACCCCAUCAACUUAGUAACCCAUUUUUGUUGCUCCUCUGCCAUAACAUGUUGCCCCAUGAGAAAUUGGAGACUUCGUUGAUCUGUUCGUAUAAUGAUAUGCUUACCCAUCAGGUAAUGACGCCACUUUUGUACAGCAAAAACAAUGGCCAUUAACUCCCUCUCAUAUACUGAUUUGGAUUGAGCACGAAUAGAAAAUCCUUGACUAAGAAAAGCGAUGGGAUGUCCUUCUUGCAUUAGGACAGCUCCAAUCCCUAAUCCUGAAGCAUCUGUCUCAACCACAAACACUUUUUUAAAAUUUGGUAGUGCCAAAACCGGCAAAGUGACCAUAGCCUCCUUAAGAGACUCAAAAGCUAACUGAGCUUCUUUAUUCCAAUGAAAAGCAUCUUUCUUGAGCAAUUGUGUGAGUGGCCGGGCUAUUUUCCCAUAGUCACGAACAAACUUCCUAUAGUAACCAGUAAGUCCCAAAAAACCCCGCAAACCUUUAACAUCUUUGGGAUUUGGCCAAUUAAUCAUGCUUGUUAUUUUGGCAGGAUCCGCUGAGACUCCACUUGCGGAAAUAAUAUGUCCCAAAUACUCUAGUUGUGGUUGACCAAAAUGACAUUUUUUUCGAUUGACAACCAGGUUAUGAUGUUUUAAAAUUUGCAGCACCUCCCGCAAAUGACCCAAGUGAGUAGAAAAAUCUGCACUAUAAACUAAUAUGUCAUCAAAAAAGACCAAUACAAACUUACGUAAGUGAAGCCGAAAUAUCUCAUUCAUCAAGGCUUGAAAAGUAGAUGGAGCGUUUGACAACCCAAAUGGCAUGACCAAAAACUCAUAAUGGCCUUCAUGUGUGCGAAAUGCUGUUUUUGCUACAUCCUCCUUGCAAACUCGAAUUUGAUGGUACCCCGAUCUUAGAUCCAAUUUUGAAAAAACAGUGGCACCCCCAAGCUCAUCCAGUAAUUCAUCGAUUGCUGGAAUUGGAAAUUUAUCUGGAACAGUGAUCUUAUUAAGGGCCCGAUAAUCCACACAAAAUCUCCAACUACCAUCUUUUUUUCGAACUAGCAACACUGGACUGGAGAAAGGACUUGUACUUGGUUGAAUGAUACCAGCUACAAGCAUUUCCUGGACGAUUCGCUCAAUCUCAUUUUUUUGAUAAUGGGGGUAACGGUAUGGACGAAUAUUAGGUGGAUUUGAUCCCUCUUUAAGUUGGAUAGCAUGAUCAUGACUCCUAUUUGGUGGCAGCCCUUGCAGAUCCUCAAAUAAAGUUCCAAAUUCUUCUAAUAACUGCUGCAAAUUCAUAUUCUCUUGUUCUUCCCUUGCUGUUAACUCAUUGAGGUCAAGAUAAUAUCCUUCUCCAUCUGUUUGCAAGGCUUUAAACAGAGUUUUGAGUGAAACCACUGAUUUGGAUAAUGAGGGGUCUCCUCGAACAACUUGUGUUUGCCCUCUUAUUUCAAAUUUCAACGUCAACGUUUUGAAAUUAGCUUGAAUAUCCCCCAAAGUCUCCAGCCACUCUAGUCCCAACACAACAUCGGCACUUCCCAAAUUAAAAAGGAAAUAAUCUUGUGUUAUGCACAAUUUAUCAAUCCAUAGUUCCACAGCUUUACAACUUCCCCUACUCUUUACUUGUUGCCCAUUCCCUACUUCCACCACAAUUGACUUAGUUUCUGUUUGCUUUAACCCUAAUUCUUCGGCAACAUUGCGAGAAAUAAAAUUUGUUGAGGCUCCGCUAUCAAUCAACACAAUAACCUUUUUCCCCAAUAUUGUUCCCCCUACCUUCAAGGACUUCUUUGUGGUAAAUCCUGCAAUAGAGUACAAAGACAAUUCCAUUAACUUUUGAGACUCUGGUUGUUCUUGAACAUUUAACUGAUUCACCCCUGCAUCUAUUAUUUCAUUUGAAUGCUCUUCUAUAUCUCCAUCUUCGCUGUCCUCUGAUGCUACAAUAAGCAGAUUUAACUGUCUAGAAUUGCACCGGUGAUUGGGGCCAUAUUUUUCAUCGCAGCGAAAACAAAGUCCUCUUCUUAAUUUAUCCUGAUACUCUGCAUCAGAUAGCCUUUUGUAUGCUCCACCACGCCUUGCUGAAGUUUCAAGUCCUGGCUGCAUGAUCUCUCCACGCUUUUGCUCUUGAAAAUGUCGUGGUACUGCUGAAACUGUUGUACGGGCAGAAUGAUAUGGUGUUGUGGCUACACGCACAUGGGAACUUGUAGCACUUCCUGUCCGGCUAUUGUCAGUCCCUGGAAAAUGCGUUGACACCUUAGGAAGUGUUAUCGGCAUAGAUCUCUGCAAGUGGACUUGGCUGAGAGCCCAAUUCUUUUCUUCAAUACGUUGGCUUUGGUCCAUAAUUUGGGUUAGAGUUCCCAACUUGCUAAGACGCAAUUCUGCCUUGAUUUCCCCUCUCAGUCCAUUUAUAAAAAUUCCUACCAAAACCUCAUCAUCAACAUCUUUCAAGGGUGCUGAAAGCAACUCAAAAUCUUCUCUAUAUUGGGCCACACUUCCAGUUUGUUGCAAUCCUAUCAAAACCUCAUAUAAGUUCCCUAACUGUGAUGGAGUAAAUCGUUGGAGUAUGGCUACUCGAAACACAUCCCAUGUGACAACCGGUGUUCUGGUCUCCCACCAUUGGAACCAAUUCAGGGCUCUACCUUCAAGGCAAACAGCAGCAGCCUCCAAUUUAUCCGUGUCAUCAAUGCCAUUGAAAUGAAAAUAACGCUCUGCUCUAUUAAGCCACCCAUAAGGAUUAUCACCAGAAAAUAAGGGUAGUUCCAGUCGUCUAGGACGUGUUUCAUCACGAAAUUGUGGUUGAACUUCCCGAAAUCUGUCACCUCUGCGAUUGUGGCUGUUCUCUGCCAUUACAUCUGUGUCUUUAAUUGGAUCUUCCUGAACCACUGAUUUUCCUUUCAUAUGUUGAAGAAUUUCAGCGUCACGCUCAUCUUUUUUUUGCAUCCAGUCUCGUAACUGCCCUAUGUAAUCACGUACUGAACCAAUCUCAUGUUGUACUUCAUCCAUUGUCUUCUCUAAUCCUUCAAUCCUCCCUUCCAUUCUGGUUGAAACCAUAAAGGCUCUGAUACCAAAAUUGUUAGGAACCCACAAUUCUCUAAUAAUAAAUCUGUAAACUUCCAAACACAAGACAGAAGUAGGAACAACACUUCAACUAAUAUUUACUGCUACAGAUAAUUAGAAUAUGUUAUACAAAUAGUUAGUAGAGAAUACUUCUAACAUUCAAGGUAUUUCGAGGAACCUUAACCUCCAAAUCUGCCUGAGAAAUCCUUACCCACCAAAAUCCUGUCUUUUUCCUUUUCCCAGUACUAUUUAUCCCCAAAUAACUACCUAAACUGCUAGUUAACUGCUAGAUAACUACUAGAUAACUACUAGAAUUACAUUCACAUAAUAAUUAAUAAAUAAAACAACUAUAUUUAAGCCUUAUUUUCACCCUUCUUUCUGCGUUCAUAGACCUUAGUAACAACAGGUCUAACAAUAUGAUUGUUAGAUCCUUGAAGUUUGUGUGUUAAAAUUUCUAUUUGCCGAUGCUGUAGGACUCUGAGGUAGUUGGUUCCAUAAGCAUUUUAACCAUUAUGUAUUUGAAAAAAAAGAGCAGAAUAACAUAAGUUUCGCUGAAAUAAUGCAUGCGGAUUGUAUUGCACUGACUAAGUGAAGGCUUCAAAAGAAAAAACUGAUAGAAUCAAGUCCUAUUAAGGAGUGCAACAAUUAUGUUACCUAUCUGUUUAACUGAGCCAUUGUGUUUCUGCUUUCAGAUGUUCUUUUUCUUGUUUCUGGCAAAUGUUUUAAAUUUUUUUAUCUCAUUUCUUGAUUCAUAAACUUUUAUGUAUAUACAAGUAGGGGUGUUAUUAAUCUUAUAGAUGUUAAUGUUGAUGAACUAAAGAUAAAGAUUAUAUUCAAUGAAAGGGUUAGAUACUUGUUUCAUUCCUACCAUAUUCGGUGUAUGUGCACCCUCUAUCUCAAAUGGAGUGUGAGACAUCCAUAUCUUAAUUUUUUGGAUGCUCAAAGACAUAACUUUAGUUUGACAGCCAGUAUAAGAGGUCCUCUCUUUGUAGAAAAGAUCUCUUCUUCAUUUAAUUAUUUGCUACUACAAGACUGAAGUUGCAUAUCUGGGGCUUUUCAGCUAGACUUCCGAGCUUUGUUUUUCCAUAGCUUAGAAGCUUUCUCUAGAAUCCUCUCCUCGUAGAAAGGAUCUCCUCUUCAUUUAAUCAUUUGCUACUUCAAGUUGCAUCUUUGGGGCUUUUGAUCUUGAAUUUCAAGCUUUGUUUUUCCUUAGCUUAGAAACUCUCUUUUUGCUUCCUGUCCACUGUCUUUUCUCCUUGGUUGGUUGGGACUUUGUUUUAGACAUAAUAUUCUUAGCUAUUUGGUCCAUGGGUCUCUGAGGAGCAUGUUCGGAGUAGAAAUGAGUGGUGCGAGGGAUUGUUGGCUUUGAAAGAUAUUUGGAGAACUCACUUACAUUCUUUUUCUUGAUAAUGCAGGGCUGGCAUAAAUUUGAAGAUCAUUUCCACCGACGAUCCCCAACAGGUUGACUUGGCUACUAGGAUUGCAUGAAAGAAGUUUCUGCUUCCCCUUUUUGCUAUCCUUAGAGAUGACAUGAAAAACUUUUGACAUCUUUUUAGUUUGGAAUCCACAAUGUAUGUAGUUCCUGGUCUCUCAGAUGUUUGUAUUAAAGAAGAAGAUGAGUUUAAUUCAUCUGACUACUUUGUUGAUCAGAUUGUCAACUAAUAUCUAUUGCACAUUGUUUUGAUUUACAAGUACUUGAUUAAACAAUGGUGGGUUUGUGGCUGAAUAUUCUGAUUCGACUUUAGUUGUUCGAUCCUGAAGCAUGCCUUUCCUUUGUGUUUCUUGUAGUGCCCUUACUUAGCUUCCUUCGUUGAGCUAUCCUCUUCUACCACGUUUCAAUAUGCCAUCAGGAGAAGUCGGUUUGCAUAAUCCGCAAUCAUGAACCCGGCUAUGCACUAAAGAAAGUUUUGCUUCAUAAAAUCUUCCAUUGUGUUCUCUUCACUCAAUUUUUGUUCCUUUUCCCACAAGUGUUUUUGCAAUUGAGUCAUAUUAUAAGGGCAUUUAAUGUAGGAAAAAGGGUAAAAAAUGCUUUUAAAUUAUGUGAAAGGAACAAAAAUGUCAUCCGUUUAUAGUUUGGUUCAAAAAUGUCUUUGCCGUUAAUAUUUUGGUUCAAAAAUGCCCUUACCAUCAAUACUUUGGUCAGAAAUGCCCCUAUAGUUACUAAAUGGGUCAAAAAUGCCCUUUUCUGAAUAAAUAUAUUAUUUUUUUCUUUUUAAACAUAUCUUCUUCCUAAUUAACAUAUUAUUAAAGAUUCUUAUUUUGUUUUUCUUUUAAAAUCACUUUAACAAAUAAAAAUGUAGGAUUUAUUUUUCUUUUUCUUAAUCUCAUUUUAUCAAUUAAAAUAGAAUAACUUCAUGUACCCUUUCGACAGAUAAUAUAUGCCAUAUAUAUAAGAUCAUAAUAUAUCCAUCAUAAAAAAUAAUUAUAAUAAAAUAAGUAAUAUUUUUUGUUACGACCUGAUUUCGAAAACUAAGGUUUCGAGACCAUUUUCGCAACUUUGGCAAUUUUUGUUGAGUUUUGGAAAAAUCUAUAAUUUGGAAGUCGCCACUUAAUUUUUUAGGAAAAUUAAGAAAACCAUUUAAAAGGAGAAUUUUGAAAGAAAGUAAUUUAAAUAAAACCAAAGUCGGGUAAGGGUUCAAAUAAUUUUCUAAGGAAGGGUUUAGGCAUCUUAGAGAGUCCGCUAACACGCGGUUGACCGACGGAUUUAAAAAUUUGGCUAACUUUGUAAAAAAUGGUUACUUAUAAAAAUCUCAUUUGAAACUUAGAUAAAAAUCCCUUGAUACUUUUAAAAAUCUCAAAAAUAAUCCUAACUUAAAACUUUUAUUCAUAGUUAUGUUUUGAACCAUACGAUUAAUUCGAACUCAUCAACAUGGAUCAAGGGACCUUGUUUAGCAACUAUGAAAGGAUAUAAAAAUUCCUCAAGUCAUUCAUACACAGUCUUCAGUCAUUUUUUAAAAGAUAACUAAUUUUAGUUUAAGACGACUUAACAACUCUAUCCUAGUCAAAAUUUGAACUAAAUAGCUAAUUCCAAACUCAUAAACAUGGAUUCAAAGCUUUUCAAUAACUAUGAAAGAACAUAAAAGGUUCUCAAGUUAUUCUAAUAAGCAUAUUACCUAACUUAAAAUGGGUUUUGGAAAUUUGGAAAUUUUAAAGUAAACAAGCGACAAAAUAUGAAAUAAAAAUCCCUCCAAAGAUUCAUCUAAGUUAAGAAAAUAAAUGUUAGAAGUUAAGAGCAAUUAUCACAAAAUAAGGAAAAUAAAAGUGCGAAGAGAACUUGGACAAAUCUAAGUCCAUUCGCUGCUUCUUAAUUGUUGUUGCUGGCGCAAUUUUCAAACUUUCUUAGUCUGAAAAAUGCAAGUUUCAGCCCUUCGAAACUGCUGUGACCUGUUACUGAGCAGCUGCCAUCAAUAAUAAUUGAAUCAAUAAGUCAAAAAUCCCUAAAAUAUCAGCCCUUUAGGGCAGUUGCGAUCUGCUCACGUUACUUGGGUUUUAAACCCAAUUUUUGCUCCUCGUUUCCCUGCCUUUUCAAGGCUGCUGUUGCUGCUGGUUUGCUUGGGUUUUAACCCAAUAAUACUAGCUUCCCUUUCACGACUCGGAGGAGGUUUGACUCAAGAAGAGGACUAUGCAAGAGAGGGGAGUCCGUGUGAACUCAAUGGAAGCGUGUUCAUGCAUAAUAAGAAAAAGAAUUAGCUAGUAUAGAUGAACUCCAAGGAAAACAUAACGAAUUAAAAUUAUCGUUAAAACUAACCAAACCAGAAACACAUGAUCAUUAAUUAGUCACAGCUUUCAGAACUUAAGUAGUAUGGUAAACUGGACAGAUUUUCUUUUUUUUUUUUUUAAAAAAAAAAGGAAAAACUAAGUCAAUAAACAAGUCAUCUGUAGGCAAAAAAAAUAAGGGAUCAUUGCAGAGAACAUAAAAACCAAAGCAUUCAAUACUAAGCAGCACAUCAACUUUCUUAAGCAAGACACAAGACAAAGAAAAAUAUUUUGAGAAAUGAAGGAACUUAGAAGUAAAUUAUACAUGCAUAGAAGUUGUAUGUGAACUUAAACAAGAUUAUAGUAUUGUAGUCUAUAUUGAAACAUGCAAAACUAAAAUUAAAACAAACAGACAACUUCUUAGCUUUAUCUAGUGUGACUCAAAAAUAAAAACUAAUAAGAGCAAAACACAAAGAUAGGAGAGAAUGCUAAGAAGAGAAAAAUAAAACACUUGAUUUUAUAGCCUUAAGUCUAAUUAACCAACUCAUAGAUUCAAGUUUCAAUCAGCACAUUGCUAGCUAUAAAUUACUCAUCUCUAACUCACAAAAUUACCACACUUCGAUUGAUUUUAACAAAGAGUAAACAAUGAGCUAAAUUAACAAAGUACUAACAUAUAUUAUAUCACUUAGAUGCAUAAUUUAUCCAUACUAACUCUAGGUAAACUAAGCAUAACAGGACUUCAAAAAACUGUACUUGGAAGAAAUCAUUGUAAGGCUAACAUGCUUUACCAUUUCAGAAAUUGAGCGAAUCAACAAAAGAUCACGACUAGUAAAGCAGCACAUGACAUAUGAGCUUCCGAAUAGAACAACACAUCUAUGACAUCCAAUAUUUAAACUAAUAAUCAGCAAAUAGGAUGAAUUCCAAGCCAAGCAAAUGUACACAAUUUAGGAUCUAUAGCUCAAGGAGUGACAUGAGGAUCUAAAGGAUUUAGGAGCAACCAAAGAGAAAUUCAACUUCAUCUAGAGCUCAACUAAACCUAGGAUCAACUCAUGGUUUCCGAACAAAUAAAAUCCUUAACAUAAGAAGCAAGUAAGAAACCCACAUUGUGAAAAAAGGGAACUGGAUGUAAAACGAAGAAAGCAGGGGUUCACUUUAAGGAGCAUAUGUAAAAGUAGAAUUGAGAUUGAGUGCACUCAAAUGAAUCUACAUAUAACAUACAAUUGCUCAAUCCCUUGGACCACAAACGAACUAAAUAGAGUAUCAAAAGUGUCAUACUAAACUAAAGAAACAAGUUCAUAAUAUAAACAACAGUUAAACUCGAACAAAUCACAGCAACAUUUUAAUCAUAUAUUACUUGAGAAAUUUGAUAAAAACGUGAUACAAAACAAUCUUGAACGAUAAAUUUGAGACCUCAAAUUUUAUAAACUUAUAAAUAAACCCCUAUUUCACAGAGACUAAAAUGACAGAAACUAAACCAAGUACUAACAUUUUAACCAUUUUAUGGAGCAAGAGAUAGAUUCUUAAGGAAACAAUAGAGGAGUGACUAUUCAGUCGAGUUAGCAAGGGUAAGGCAUUUUUUAGGUUGUUUUCAAUCACCAGAUGCGAUACAGAAUCGAUCAAGCAAAAUGUGCUAUUAAGUCAAAACAGGAUUUCACAUUUUUACUAAAAGAAAAAUCUGGAAAGAAAAAAAAACAGUAACUCUCUCCAGAAACUAGGAUUGGAAAUUCAAACAACCCACAGGGAAUAAAAGAAACAUUGCUAAUGUACUUGUAAAAUCACCAAUACUUAGGCAUUCAACAAAAAUAUUCAUCAACAUAUAAAUGUUAGGAAACAUACUAGCCUUAAAUCGGCUCUAACACAUAACACAACAACAUAGACUAAAAUUAAACUAAAUAGAAAAGGAAAGGAAAGAGUUACCUGGUUCUGGGCAGCGACUGAAACUGGAGUCCGGAUGUGACGAACUCUACCACCACCCCGACUCAAAAUAGCCGCAAAUCAAUUGAAUUUCAGUGACGAAAAUAAGAGCUCCCAAAAAAACAUAGCGGGGUGCUCUUUUCUUCGCCUCCCAAAAAACCUCCCUUGAACAGUAAGAGGGAGGGGUAUUUAUAGGACCUAAAAUCUCACGAAAUUUGGAAAGAUUUUCGAUGUGGGAUUUUGAGAAUUUUCAAAAUCCCUUAACAUAUAAGGAUUGCCAACUAGUUAGUGUACGAAUUCGUACCAUUUUGAACGAAAUUGAAAAAGGAAAAUCGAAAAUUAUAAGGGUAUUACCGUUGAGGAAUGCAAUGCUGGAAGCUUGAGGCGUCUUUGAGCUCGUACUAUGCACGCGGAGAGUACGAAUUGAAGGAGAAAAGAGGAAAAUUGAGGCGGUGAAUCUGAGGAUUUGAAGUUGGGUUCGUUUGGUUGCUUUCGCUGAGGAAGAAGAAGAAGAAAGAGGUGGGAUCGGGGGGCGUGUAGGAGAGUUCUGUGUGUUCUUUCUAGGAAACAAAAAGAGUGUGUGUGCGCGUGAGGUAAAGGGGAUUAGGAAAAUAGUGGAAUAAAGGGUGUGGGCUGGUUUAAAGCUUUUUGGGGCCAAAAAAUUGGAUUAAAAAGCUGAGGAAAAAUAAGUGGGUUAAGGAACUGGUC